GAUGAACGCUAGCGGCGUGGAUUAGGCAUGCAAGUCGAACGCGAAAGUAGGAGCAAUCCUACAAGUAGAGUGGCGAACGGGUGAGUAACGCGUGAGAAACCUGCCUUCAACAGGGGGAUAACAUUCCUAACGGGAUGCUAAUACCGCAUGAGACCACGGGAUCGCAUGAUCCUGAGGUCAAAGGUGGCCUCUAUUUAUAAGCUACCGGUUGAAGAUGGUCUCGCGUCCCAUUAGCUAGUUGGCGGUGUAAAAGACCACCAAGGCGACGAUGGGUAGCUGGU
This 281-nucleotide ribosomal RNA is filed under the name uncultured bacterium. RNAcentral describes it as "partial 16S ribosomal RNA". It matches the Rfam family "Bacterial small subunit ribosomal RNA", at positions 28 to 291 of the family's 1533-position model. The record is from RNAcentral.